This 71-nucleotide transfer RNA is filed under the name Cavia porcellus (domestic guinea pig). It matches the Rfam family "tRNA". Rfam says of the family: Transfer RNA (tRNA) molecules are approximately 80 nucleotides in length. The record is from Rfam by way of RNAcentral. Lineage: Eukaryota; Metazoa; Chordata; Mammalia; Rodentia; Caviidae.
GGUUGUGUAGCUCAGUGGUAGAGCAUUUGCCUGGCAUGAAUGGGCUCUGGGUUCAGUUCCUAGCACUGCAA